GCUUUUAAGGGGGUCUCUGAAAUGGCAUUUCCAGAGUUCUGGGAACAGAAUUUGCAAAAUCUUUGGCCAUUUUGCAUGGAUUACAUUAAAGAGGGGGAUAAGUCCCUUCUGCGCAUGUGCCCGGCGUUUGUUUACAGGGGACUCCACCGGAAAUGAACCUCUCGUUUCCAGUCCCAUAAUUGGCGAUAUACACGCGCGAUGUUUAUAUUCCACAUGAGGUGAUGAGGAGUGAAUGUAAAAUAUUUAUAUAGAAUUCGAAAAGGUUUCAACAAAUUUGCGACUUUUAUGAAACCAAAUCCACCUAUUAGUAAAUUAUAGAAACAUAUAAAACAACAAGAGAACACGGAAAGAAUAUUACGCCAGCAAAGCUGCCCUAAAAGUGCGUUUGUGCGAUAUUCAGUGCAGCACGCUGUGAAUACCUGUGAUCAAAAUUGGGCUAUUCCAUUUAAUAUCCGUACCCCCCCUGUCGAGGAUCCCUGGAAUUCUUCAGGGGUAAAGGGUUUUGAGCUUGGAAUUCUUCAGGGGUAAAGUGUUUUGAGCUUGGAAUUCUUCAGGGUAAAGUGUUUUGAGUUUGGAAUUCUUCAGGGGUAAAUGGUUUUGAGCUUGGAAUUCUUCAGGGGUAAAGGGUUUUGAGCUUGGAAUUCUUCAGGGGUGAAGAGGUUUGAGAUUGAAAUUUUUCAGAGCUUGGAAUUCUUCAGGGGUGAAGGGUUUUGAGCUUGGAAUUCUUCAGGGGUAAAAGGUUUUGAGCUUGAAAUUCUUCAGGGGUAAAGGGUUUUGAGCUUGGAAUUCUUUAGGGGUGAAGGGUUUUGAGCUUGGAAUUCUUCAGGGGUAAAAGGUUUUGAGCUUGGAAUUCUUCAGGGGUAAAGGGUUUUGAGCUUGGAAUUUUGGAAUUCUUCAGGGGUAAAAGGUUUUGAGCUUGGAAUUCUUCAGGGGUAAAGAGUUUUGAGCUUGGAAUUUUGGAAUUCUUCAGGGUAAACAGUUUUGAGCUUGGAAUUCUUCAGGGGUAUGACAAUGAAAAACAUGUAUCCUCGACAGGGGGGUACGGAUAUUAAAUGGAAUAGCCCAAUCGACAUGUGUUGUCUGCUACGAUGUCUUUUAUAUUCAGGUAAAUGUUUUGUUUAUACUUGGGUUUUAACUGUUGUUAAAUAGUAAUUUUGGUCAGAAAUUCUAUGCUGGGAUUCUAUUGCAUUGGAUUUAUAUGCUGACUAUGUAUUUAAUAUUUAUUUAUCAGAUCUGAUCGAAUAUUCGUCCCCGGCAAAGAAAGUCAAGAGAUUUGAAACCAUAACUACAAUAGUACAAUUUACUGUUAAUAUUUUUAUUGAUGCGCUAUUAUUCAAGACGGCUUCAUAACUUUAUUUUUAUUUCUACAUUUAUUUUACUAUAUACAAUUGUUUGUAAUCUAUAACCAGAUAUCUGAAUAUAAAUCUUUAUAUUAACAUUGUAUGCGUAUGCCAUUUCACAUAGCAUGAUUGUUGUAUAAAAUUAUCGAACUUUCAAGCUAGAUAAAUUUUUGUAUAUGCAUGCAAAGUUUUAUUUUAGUAUUGGAAAACGUUCAUACUGUAGGCUGAAACAUAGUAGCAUGAGGUAUAUAGUCAUUAUCAUGAUAGUUGAGUUGCCUUGGAACUCUUACGAUUUUGUGAUAUACACCCACAGUACAUGAAGUUACACCUCAGGAAGUAAUAAAUAUGACAACUGUAUAAUCUUUAUAGUUACUAUAUUAUUUUCUCAUUAAAAGCAAUGCAUGGUAGUAUCUUUUAGCAUUCUGGAGUUGAAAAUGAGCUUCAAUAUCACAAGAUUUGUCUGGUGAUAUAUUGGAAUUUGUAUUGGAAUAUAUGUCUUGAGAUCUGACAACUCAGAACUGCCAUUAAUUAAAUUAUUAACACUAGCUGACAUUGUACAUUAUAUUAUUUUAUACCAUGAUAUUCUAGUAAGAAGUGUAUCCAGCAUACAAUAGUGAAAUCAAAUGUUGACUAGGCAACAACCCUUCAAUUAUU
Molecule: non-coding RNA, 1994 nt
Organism: Paramuricea clavata
Lineage: Eukaryota; Metazoa; Cnidaria; Anthozoa; Malacalcyonacea; Plexauridae
Source: the annotation of a GenBank genome assembly